RNAcentral lists this long non-coding RNA (683 nucleotides) under Salmo salar (Atlantic salmon). RNAcentral's name for it is "lncRNA (ENSSSAG00000071250.2, ENSSSAG00075060242.1)". The record is from RNAcentral. Lineage: Eukaryota; Metazoa; Chordata; Actinopteri; Salmoniformes; Salmonidae.
ACGCAGCCACCCAGCAGUCCCCUAAUGAUUUGUCCCUGUUCGUGAUCAUUCGCUGAGGGCACCUGUCCCCUUUGGGUGGUCAGGUUGACUUACCUGCUGCCUCACCGCCCGGGAGGGAGGGGGGUAGUCACACGCAGCACACUGGCACAGCUGCCCCAGUUGGCUAUUCCCAGAUCCCAACCUGAUUAUUUAAAGAGCUCGAAAAUCAGCUUUCACAGCUCAGGAGCAGCAGGGAUGGCUGAUUCAUCAACACGUGGAGUCCCACUGAACACUCAUCAUCAUCUCAACCAGUCUUGAAAACACAAACACAUUCUUUACUCUUAUGGCAAAUUAGUGGCAAUUGCAGUCAUCGACUAGAAGGACCCGACAGUGGAAAGCGGCAGUGUGUCCUGACUCCUGUGUGAUCAUUAACACAUAGAUGGCAUCGCCAUGGACCCCUUGCUUUCCUUCCUGCAUGCUUAUUUACUUCCUGUUAUAGUAUUAAUGGUGUUGUGUGGCAAGGCCUUAUUAUUGUAGUAAGCAGGAACCAACACUAAUCCAAUAUAAUGAGCCAGUGCACUAAUAUGAAUCUGUAAGAGAUGCAAUUAUUGGAAUGGGGGUGGGUAUCACAAGUAGAUUUUACAAAUAAGCCGUUUUCUGCACAACAUUACCAAGAAUAAAAUUCUCCCAAGAAUACUCUAGAA